AAGGAUUUAAGUUAAAUUAAACUAUUAACCUUCAAAGUUAUAAAUAAAGUAAAAAACUUUAAGCCUUA
Molecule: transfer RNA, 68 nt
Filed under: Micadina phluctainoides
Lineage: Eukaryota; Metazoa; Arthropoda; Insecta; Phasmatodea; Lonchodidae
Description: tRNA-Trp
Source: RNAcentral